RNAcentral lists this ribosomal RNA (590 nucleotides) under uncultured bacterium. Its description in RNAcentral is "bacterial SSU rRNA". The stretch from base 1 to 520 matches the Rfam family "Bacterial small subunit ribosomal RNA", at positions 338 to 873 of the family's 1533-position model. The record is from RNAcentral.
CCUACGGGAGGCAGCAGUGGGGAAUAUUGGGCAAUGGAGGAAACUCUGACCCAGCGACGCCGCGUGCGGGAUGAAGGCCUUCGGGUUGUAAACCGCUUUCAGCAGGGAAGAAGCGAAAGUGACGGUACCUGCAGAAGAAGCACCGGCUAACUAUGUGCCAGCAGCCGCGGUAAUACAUAGGGUGCAAGCGUUGUCCGGAAUUAUUGGGCGUAAAGAGCUCGUAGGUGGUUCGUCACGUCGGAUGUGAAAAUCUGGGGCUUAACCCCAGACCUGCAUUCGAUACGGGCGAGCUUGAGUAUGGUAGGGGAGUCUGGAAUUCCUGGUGUAGCGGUGGAAUGCGCAGAUAUCAGGAGGAACACCAAUGGCGAAGGCAGGACUCUGGGCCAUUACUGACACUGAGGAGCGAAAGCGUGGGGAGCGAACAGGAUUAGAUACCCUGGUAGUCCACGCCGUAAACGGUGGGCACUAGUUGUGGGGACCUUCCACGGUCUCUGCGACGCNGCUACGCAUAGUGCCCGCCGCGGAGUACGANCGCAGAUAAACUACGAAGAGUAGACGCGUGACGNGCGACGACGACGACGACGGAGGAG